CCAAUAGCGUAUAUUAAAGUUGUUGCAGUUAAAAAGCUCGUAGUUGAAUUUCGGGGCCAGUAGGUUGGUCGUGCCACUGGUAUGCACUGGCCUCACUGGUCCCUCCUUCUUGUAGAACCGUGAUGGCAUUAAUUUGUUGUUGCGGGGAAACAGGACUGUUACUUUGAAAAAAUUAGAGUGCUUAAAGCAGGCUCGCGCUUGAAGACAUUAGCAUGGAAUAACGAAAUAGGACGAUCGAACCUAUUUUGUUGGUUUCUAGGAUCGACGUAAUGAUUAAUAGGGAUAGUUGGGGGCAUUAGUAUUCAAUUGUCAGAGGUGAAAUUCUUGGAUUUAUUGAAGACUAACUACUGCGAAAGCAUUUGCCAAGGAUGUUUUCAUUAAUCAAGAACGAAAGUUAGGGGAUCGAAGACGAUCAGAUACCGUCGUAGUCUUAACCAUAAACUAUGCCGACUAGGGAUCGGAUGAAGUUAAUUUUUUAAUGACUCAUUCGGCGCCUUACG
RNAcentral lists this ribosomal RNA (500 nucleotides) under uncultured Glomeromycotina. RNAcentral describes it as "partial small subunit ribosomal RNA". It matches the Rfam family "Eukaryotic small subunit ribosomal RNA", at positions 591 to 1092 of the family's 1831-position model. The record is from RNAcentral. Lineage: Eukaryota; Fungi; Glomeromycota.